GGGGGUGACAGGCUUCGACUUUGGUAUUUGACGCAUGGGAAGCGAGUCGUGGUGUCCGGAUCCACGCUAAAGAGCCGGAAACAAAAAUAAACGCCGAGCCUCAGCUCGCACUCGCAGCUUAAUUAAUUCUGCGACGUCCUUCCCGCCCGAGCUCUUAGGGCGGUCAAAGGGCGAGAUCAAAGAGAGAUAAGCCGGUGGCGGUCUCGGAACCGCCGGACGAAAACUUACGAGAUAGGCAGAGGGCCAGGCGCUAGCAGUAGCCCGCUGAAGAAA
Molecule: transfer-messenger RNA, 273 nt
Filed under: Actinomycetota bacterium
Lineage: Bacteria; Bacillati; Actinomycetota
Description: partial transfer-messenger RNA
Rfam family: transfer-messenger RNA
About the family: Bacterial tmRNA, also known as 10Sa RNA or SsrA, is named for its dual tRNA and mRNA-like properties. Its role is to liberate the mRNA from a stalled ribosome. To accomplish this part of the tmRNA is used as a reading frame that ends in a translation stop signal.
Source: RNAcentral